GGGGCACGCUGCUCCUGCACACACACACACACACACACACUCACUCACUCACUCACUCGCUCGCUCACUCGGCAGUUCGCCCGCCUUUCUUCCAGGCAGGCGUUUGUUUGAUCGUUAAACUGGAAGGAGAGGGGCCGAGCGGAGGGGGGGAGGUUUUGACAGCUGCCCUUGACUCGCCUCCUCCUGUUGCCGCCGGAUGAACCACCCACUCCUCCGCCGAGAAGAAAGGAGAGUGUGUGCGGAGCCCUCCGAGGAGCCCCACACCCCUCCCGGCUCCGCGGGGCCCCUCCGGUGUCACCGCCGCCCCCUCCCCGGGCAGGCGCGCCCCUUUCGAGGUUAUUUUUACACCGGGCUGUUUGUCCCCCCGCUCCUCGGUGGAUGUUGCUGUGACACACGCUCGUAGCUAGAGAAAACUCUCUCGGCUUGACUCAUCCCUCUCGGGCGAGCACGUGGUGCAGCAACAGUUUAUUUUCCUCCCGAGAUGAGACAGACGCGACCCGCCAGCGGCUCCGCUCCGCGCUCCCGGUGCCCGGGGCUGCCUGCAGAGCCGAGGGGGGGAGGUGAGGGGAAGUGAGGUGAGGUGAGGGCCCCUCCGGACGGCUCGUGCGUGGAGAGCCACGCGCUGCUCGGCGCUGCGCUACCGCGCGUGGCCGCGUGUGUUUGUUGUACCGCUGCAGGGCCACGUGCUGCGGGGCAGCGCUGCUGGCGGCUGAUGAAAUCACGGAGUCCUACGGCAAAACAGCGCUCCUUCCCCCCCCCUCCACCUCCGCCUCCUGCUUGUACGUCCACAAAGACGCGCAUUCACCUCCGAGCGGGAAGCAGCCGCGUUUCAACAGCAAACCCUCCCAAGCACCUCGUAACUAUUUUUACAUAGCGUCAUUACAGCGACCUUGCCGGAGAUAAAACAGCUGUUACAUCCUGCGCGAGGGACGCACGCGGAGGGCGGCUGUUGAGCAAUUCCGGCCAACAAGGCCGGCUCUCCGCCGCCCGCGGGACUGCGUGGCCCGCGGCUCUGCCUGGCGGGGAGGAAGGAGGGAGGGGGGGAGCGCUGACUCACAGCGCGGCGCUGACUGAGCGGCGGCGGUGCGAGCCGGGCCGUUACCCGCCGCCCAACCGCCCUCCGUGCGUGCCCGCGCCCCGCAGGCUGCUCCCACCGCUCCCCCGGCACCGCUUUUGUUUUUGUUUCUCUCUCUCUUUUUUUUUUUUUUUUUUUAAGUCCGGCUCCCCAGCUGUGAGAGCUGACUCUUCAAACCGGCGCUUUGAGCGUCCACGCUUGGCCGUGCCAAAAAAGUAACGACGGGAAGUGAACAAAGGACAUGUCAAGGAUCUGAGGAGAUUCCCCUCUCUACGCACCGCCCGAGCCGCUCGGCCCGCGUUGCUCACUGUCCCUGGGGCUGCUGACGAGUGGUGAACCAAACUCUUCCCUUUUUCUUCUGGCGAGGUCGCUUUAACGAGAGGAAAAAUAACGCUUUACUCUCGCACCGAGCUGGAGCUUGUUUUUAAUAGUGUUAGGAGCAAUCCUAACUGCUGGAAUUUUCUCCAAAGGGAAGACUGGUUUUUGACUUCACAUGUGGCAGCACAUGAAGCAGAUAGGCUGUAAAGACCAGGAGGGUCAUGCUACUAGUAGCAGAGCAGUGAGCACUCACUCCUAGUUCCCCAGGUACAACGUACCCACAGAGGCUUUCCUUUUUUUCUUUCUUUCUUUUCUUCUCUUUUUUUUCCCCAAGUUGCUCUAUGGAUGUAAGCGUUGAGGGUGUGUGUCCAUACUUGGGACUACAGGGAGACACAGAAAGCAUCCAGCAAGCUGUGCAGUUUUGAUUGCAGCCCCCAGGACAAGGUUGGAGCAGUACCUGGGGCUUGUCUGCAGAUUCUACUUUAUUCUAGCACAUGAAGGCUCCCAUAGGUGUUGGAACUGAUAGAGUGGGUAAAGCUUGCUAAUAAGUAGGGUGGUUGGAAGCAAACUGCUGUAGCCUUCUCUUACAGUGAAGAUUUGACACACCUGAAAGAAGAUUAUAUCUAAAGAGGUAGCAGGUGAGCUUGUUGCCUGUUCUCAGCUGGAAUCUAAGGAUAAGGAGAGACCUGAUUUUUUUCAGUAAGUUCAGUCAACUGGUGGCUCAUAAGUUGUGAUGGGUUUUGGUGUUCACAGGCAGAAGCAGUUGAUAUGUAAUAAAACACACAACUUUGCACAGUUUUUUCUCUUCCUUCAUAGGUUGGCAAAGCUGUGAUUUUAGCAUUACUUAAUCUGCUGGAACUGUAUCAGCACUAAUAAUCAUAUCUCAUGCUGCUCCCUGAACAACUUUGGCUUCUCUGCAGCUCCUUGGAUUUCCCCUUUAAACAGAACUUUUUAUCUGAUUCUUUAGCACAGACACGGAACCAUAUAUUUGAAAGAGAUGGAGGGAUAUGUUCUGGUCUUCUGUGUGUACGUUCUGUUCAGAACAUUCUGAGAGCUCAGAAUAUCAUCAGAGCCAGAGGGAGACAUAAAAGAAAUAUACUGAAGACAGGAGAAUGAGACAUGCCGCAGAAGAAACAGUGUGGCUGCCCUUGAAUGCCUGGUGAUGGCAUAUUGUGCUUUGCUGUCAGUCUGUUGACUCAUGUACACUUCAAAAGAGCUCUCAGGAGAGGCAGUUAUGCGAGUCACUGCCUGAUGCACUGUAAAUCAUGGCUGUGCUUUUUUUGUUAUUUGAACGGGCGUCGAGUGAGCCUAAUGCUGUUUUGAAAGAUCAUCUAAUGUCAUUGGAACUCAGGGAUUUCAAUGAAUGUGGGGCAGAGGAUGAGGGAAUGCUCGCCCUCAUGGACAAGAUUAGUCAGAGCUACUUCAGGAUUGUCUGGUCAUCUCUUCUUUAGUAUCAUGUGCUGCAGGUCAAAGCAAAUAAAGCGGUAAGAAUCAGGAGCUUCAUGGAGGUUAUGCUGAACAGAGGUGUAUCCAAAAUCUUAGUGUGCUCUCGCCUCCAUGUCCUCUCUCUUGAAGCUGUACCCCUGAGAUUUGAUGAAAAAGCAGGACAAGAGCUUUAGAGAGUUGGUGCAGGGAUUGGUACUGUCAGAUGCUUUUUUGUCAUCGCCUUUCCUCUUAAGAACAAACAAAUGCUUCCCCUCUAAGGAGUAAGGCAGUAAAGGGAUACCAGGUGGCACUGAAUAAACUGUGAAAUGCUGCAGUCAUAAUGCUGUAGUAGAACCACAUCAGGAAUUUUAGUCCAGAUUCCUAAGGAAAGAACUUUUUACACUGUGUUGCUUUCGUCUGAUGGUCUGCAGGAUAUCUCCAUAAUUUUAAAAGUAGGCCAGCUUCAAAUAAACUUUGCAGAAUGGAAGAGGCUUGUUGUUCUUAAUGAAGAUGAUUGAGGGGGUCAAGGUGAAUCUCCCCACAGAAGGAAAGGUUUAGAUUGGAGUUCAGGUGUGUUCUUAGUGACAAACCAACAAGGGGGAAAUUUUGAAUGCCCUGUGUACAAGAAAAACUUUGAACAAAGUUUGCAUUCUAGUUGAAAUGGGAUGGUAAAAACAUGAGAUGCAAAGCUAUAGGUAACUCUGAAAAGCAUUUUACUUUCUCUGUUUGUAAAGUUGAAAUUGUGCUGCUUACAGUUACAAACUGGAAAUUCAGAGCACAGAACCAACUAUGUAAAGACUUGCAGAACCAUAUUAAACCACAAUAUCGAAGACAAAGAUUAUUUCUGAACCUCUGAUGCUGUCAAUUCAGGAGUUCCCAGGGCUAUCUGGUUUGCCUUUUGCUUUGCUGCUGAGAAUGGAAGAAAUCACAUCUCUUGAGACUGCUGCGGGGAUUGUUUUGAGCUAUUUUAAAAUUCACAGGAGAUAGUUAAGAAAUUCACUUUCUUAUGUUGCUUUACAAAACCUAGGAGUAUUAUUUUAGAUGUCCUUCAGUGAUACUGUGAUUUCCAUAUACUUUAAGAAUAGAACAGGUCUCAGUUUGCUAACUCAUACUCACGUGGCUAUCAGAGCUUACAGGAUGAGUGAUGCUGUUUUAGCAGUAGCAGUGCUCUGUCACAGCAGAUAGAGCUUGAAGCAGAUUAUGUCCAGCCUCAAAGACAGAACACAACCACUAGAGUAUAGACCUCAGAUGUUAAUCUGAUUCUAGGCUUUGGCUGGUGGAUAGCUGUCAUUAGAACAGGAGAACUAAGUCAGGAGACCUGACUUUGGUGUCUGAUACUGAAGGAUGUAGCCAAGGGAUCCAGUAGUAGUCUUUCUGUAUCUGUAAAACUAGAACUGCUCUUGGGUGAAGAUAGGGAAAUAGUUAUUUCCACUUUGUGAUGCCAUUUGCGUUGUCACAAAUAUGACCAGGCUCACACAAUUACUUUGUGAUGUUUGACCUGCAUCCUCUGCAUUCAUAUAAAGUUACUGUAUAUGUUUAAUAUUUUCUGGUCAUUGCAUUCUGACAGGAUGACAGCCAGCCAGAUGUGCUUUUAUUCAGCAGCAGUGAAAUGGUGCUCAGUAUCCCACAACAGUACAAGUGGUUAUGUCAGGCCUUUCAAGCAAGUGCAUUGAGUAGAAUAGUGAUGCCUGUACUUGCCACUCUGACCUCUUCGUGUGGGCAGCAAAGGGUUAAAGGCUGAAAAAGAAACUAUCAAGCACUCCCCAGACUGAGGAGUAAAGGAAGAGUGGGCAAAGUGAGAAGUAGAGAGAGAUUAGAGACCCUGCCUUUAAGCUGAGUGGUUUUCAGAUGGACUACAAAGGGGAAAAAAAAAUUAAAAGGCCAAAAUAUAUCUGGUUGCUGCAUAGAGUGGGCUGUAGGAAAUGAGUGUUGGGGAGGGUUUCCCAUGGAUGGUCAGCUAAUGUGAGUGUGCUGUGAUUCUAAAUUUGCUGCCUCCUGUCAGUUGUAAUUCUGAUCUCUCUGCUAGUGGACCUUUACUGAAGUGUCUAAAUUAGGGCUUACUAAAAUGCAUUUGCAGCUGAUAGUGAAAGUAGGAGCCACUGCGAGAACAAGAAUGGAACUUUUUUUUUCUGAUUCUGCUAUCUAGUCUUUCCGUGAGUCAGAUUUGUACUGGCUAGAACAUCUGCAAUAAUACAAAAACCAAACCUGUGCUUAUCUGAGCUGCACUUGCACUGAUUACUGUAUCAGGAGAGCUGAACUGGUAAUGAAUUACAUAUAUGAAUUCGAGCAAGGCAGGUGUUGUCUGCCUAAUUGUUCCAAAAGCCUCAGCGUCAACAGCGAUUGUGAAUGAUGUAAUGCCACCUUACAGCUAGAACCAUCCUGAGAUCAUGAGCUCAUUUCAUAUAAAAUGACAAUCAGUUGGAAAUACCUCUUUGUUGUAAGUAAUCUGCCAAAAAAUUUACUAGUUAAUUUCCUCUUGAACAUGGCAAAGAGACUGGGGCAGCUCUUGCUGGCAGAGCAUUUGUUGGGCCAAAACCAUUCAGAUGUUUUGAUCGUGCUGCUGCCAGCAUCUACCCUAAAAUUCAUUUAAAACUGAUUGUAGAAUGAGCAUCUAAAAACACAGUGCAGAUGUGAAGAUGUGCCACGCACCUGAAUGUCUCUUUUCCGUACUGUGCUUCACUACAGCUGGAGAAAAGAGCGGAGGAGUUAAGAUGAUAGGCAGUUUUGGCAAGGAUUUCUGCGUGCUACUUAUAUCUUUAGUAGUAGUUUCCAAGCUCUUGUAGUUGCUGCAAUGAGUGAUGAUCUUGGGAUACCUCAGAAUUCUGUAGCAUACUAUGAGGAACUUUUAUGAGAAGCUUUUUUUUUGGAAAGAAAUGAUCUGCCACUCUCCCUUCCCCCCACGUUUAUUUGGCUCAGUAGGUCUCCAGGUUAGUAGUAGGGUGGAAUAAGAAAUUUUUCCCCUUGCUAUAAUAUAUUUGGGGUAUAUCUGCAUUAUAAGAAAUUGGCAACACUGAUAUUUAUACUGUAACAUGAAAAGAACAAAUUACGUACAGUCAUAUAUUUGGGCUUUUUUUUUUUAAAGUUAUUUAUAAGAGGUGUAGAAGCUACUUCUAACAUAAGUACAUGUUUCUUUAUUACUGAAAUUUCCGUGCUAAGUAAUUGCUGACAUCUUUUUCAUUUUUUCUUUUUAUCUUUACUUGGCCCUCACUGACUUUGAAGUUUGGUUCAGGUCAAAUUGUACAUUCAUCUUUUAAAGCAUCUGAAGCGAUAACCUCAGUUUGUCCUCUAGAUCCUGAAAGCUUAUGUUUCUGUUCAACUUUAAUUCAGUUCUUGAUGGUCUGUACUGAAAUUAUUAGAGGCACUGAGUGAUUUAUUUUUUAAUGAAAAAAAUGGGGCAUGCAUCAGGCGUUGCAAGAAUGUAUCUUAAAUAGGAAAAAAAAAACUCUCCCAUAUUGCUGCAACUAUCACUGGUCAGUUUUUCUAAUAGAAUCUGAUUUAUGAACCAUGAAAACAGGACCCUUGAGGGAAUAAUUCAUUAAUUAGCACUUUUUCCAUUUGUGAUUAUUGGAGAAAUAAACUACUGUAUUGGAAUUUCCUUUUUGCCCCUGGAGAGUGUAAACAGCGUUAAUACGUCACAUGCACCAGGGUAAAAGUAUCAUAGAUACUUUUCAUAACAAUUAAGAAGAUAGUUCUAUAAACUUGCAUUUUCUUCAUCACCACAUCUAGUAGAUUUCUAUCAUCAUUGUGCUUGAGAGUUUUGCACUCUCCUAGAUAAGAGACUGCAUUGGGACAUCCAUUUUUGAUUCUGAGCUGUCUUUCCAGAGAAAGCGUUUAGGCAUCUUGGAGAAUGGCCACUGCAGGAUGGGUUUGGGAUCAUUCUCAAAACUGCUGGACUAGGGCACUGGAUUGGAGAGUUUUGUUUGUUCCUUGUUUUGCUUUGUUUGUUUUAAUUAUUUUUUUGCCCUUUACUUUUACACAAGGGAACCCGCGUGACCAGUAGGUCUGCUGCUUCUCAGUAAGAGCUCAUAACAAGAGGAGGGGAGAGCUUGUGUGGCUGAAUAAAAGUGUGGAGGUCACACAUGAUUCUCUGUAAACAAGAGUGCUCGGUGAGAGGGGAAGCAGGAAAAAUUCUGACCAACUUGAAACGCUGACAAAAGUGAGGCUGACCUGGAGGCAACGCCGAGUCUGUGGAGUGAGGACGUCCCAGCACUGGUGUUACUUUACAGAAGUCAGUGACUCUGCAGCACUUAAUAAAGCAACUGGUUGAGAAAUUCCUUUGCUAAGCCUGAGCACCAUGUGUUUUGGGUUGGGCUUUUUUUUUUUUUUUUAAAUGCGUGUGUGAGAUGGUGCCAGGAGGUAUCAAACCAGAAUUACAACGUGAAAGAGGAGUUCUGGGAAAAUACAAGUAGAUUACUAAAAGAGAAAGGAGAGUCUUGGAUAUGUAAAGCUGCAGUUCAAAGCUCUGUGAUAGCUGGGUCAUGAAGCUCUGACACAGGAGGAUUUAUACAAGGAAUCUGGGCCUGAGUGAGAGCAAAGCUGAUCCAGAGCUAGAAUCGGUAGUCAGUUUAAAGGGAGUUAGCUCUGGAUUCAGCUGACUCUUUUGGAAGGUCAGCUGUUAUUCGAGGCCUUGAGACUGAACCUGAGUUCUCUGUGAAAGGUUGUUGUAAGCUUUGAUUCUGCAGCUCUUAAUGCCAUGAAUAAUCAUGAUAUCCAGAAGAACAGAAGCUGCAGAAGAAGCUGCUAUUGUCUUCUGAGGCAGCUUCUGGGCACUUCUAGUCUGGUAGCAUUCAUGGAAUGAGAACAAUGUGAUGCUGUGGUUCUUUGCAAGUCCUCAUUUGCUAUGCUAUUGUGGGUGGGAAGAUACACAUCUAGCAGUCAGCCAUUACUGAUAAUACAAAUAUGAAAAAGCGACUCACACCCUGGGAAGAGAACACAAGGACCUCAGUAUUGCUAGGGACCAGAAUAAGGUAAGCCUGGUUUAUUAUUGUUUCUAGAAGUCCUGCACACAUCUGGGCUUUAGUUUAGGCAUAAUAAAAGAGCACAGGUUUAUUUAAUGCAAAUAACCCACACAGCUAAGUUUUACCUUAACCAGACACCUCCCUUCCUUGAUUUUGGAUUUUACAUAAAGUACUUGCAACAGCUGUCCUGAGACAGAAGGAAUUUAAGCAUCACUUCUAGUAAAUUUCAGAAUGUUGGCAUUCUUGUGACAAUGUAUCACCAAGUAUUGAUUUUAUAACUUCCUUUUCAAAUUUAUCUUGCUGGAAAUGCAAUUCUAAUUAGAGUUGCAGUGAAGUUCUAAUGGCUUCAAGGAGUUUGCUCACAAGUUACUACAUUUUCUUGCUAAACUCUUGAGAAGCAAGACUGAACUCACCAAAUUGACUUCAUCCCUAAGUAGUACAAUAAGCAGAGCAGUUCUCUUAUGUGGUCAAUCAAUCUAAUACAUAGACAAAAUGCAGUUACCUUUGGAUUUUGCUUUGUUUUUAAAAGAAAGGCAUUUUACCUUGCUUAAUGUCAGGUACAUGGCACGCAGUACCAGCUGUCUGGAUCAGAAAAGGAUAUUCCAUGGUUACGUCCUUCCCCACACGACUACAAAGAGCGUUACUGACCUCCUCUGCUACUUCCACCCUUUUAAACCUUAGGUUGAUACACAGCGUCCUUCUGACGUACAAAACAAACCAUUAUGUCCCAAACUAAAAAUAGCUGAUGAAAUGCAACUGUGCAUCAGUCGGCAGCGCUGAGGUUCUCUGCAUUACACUCACUGACCACAAGCUAUCUGAAACGCCUGGCCUCCAACAACAUUUCAGCAAAUAAAUAUGAACUCCUGACAUCUAGAUACCAGUGAAGGCAGCUGACAAUAAGGGGAGCUGCAGUCAAGAGUUGCGUGCUGCUUCAGUCUGUUCUGCCUGAACAAAAGCAGCCACACAAGUUACUGUUAAACUCUGAAUAACCAAUGAGUUUCACUGUGCUAAACAGCAUCUGUAACUGUUUUCUGAAAUAAAGAACAGGCAAUAUGCUCAAAGCUACAAAAAGUAAACAAAGAGCACAUUUUACUUCUAUGCUAUUUUUUAAGUUUCUCUAAACCAGACCUGGGAGGCAGCCACAGAGAACAGAGAGACAUGACUCUUGCACUCAGAGACCUUUGAGUGUCAGCCUGUGUAUGGAGAAGCAUCUCAUAGGAUUGGUGCAGCUAUGCCUGAAAUAGACCUGCACACAGCUCUGGGAAAUUCCAUUAGAAACAGGGCGAUAAAUUGGAACACGUUCAGAAGAAACAAGGCCACCAAUUCAGCCAGCCAGAAAGAUCAACUUGCGAUGGAAAAGGUUCCAAGCGCUCGUGCUUAGCGUUAUCUCCACGUGUACAGCAGGGAAUGACAAUGAAUGAGGACUUCGCUGGAGUCAAGCACUAGACUCACUAAUCUAGGUGAGAACAGGACUUCAUCUGACAAACUCAUUGGAUUAUUUAUUAAAAAUAAAAGGUGAAAUACAUCAUACUACUGGAAUAGAGAUGGGAUAAGUUCAGACUGAAAACAGACGAGUAUCAGUAGAUAAAAUGAAUGGAAAUACUUCACACUGGAUAGCACAAGUCACAACACACAUUAGUUUCAUCUGUUUAAUACAGAGCAUCAAUCUGUCUGGGACUUGUUUUGGAAACUGAGAAACUUCUAAUGUAAGAGCUUGCGUCCUUCAGACAAGAUAUUUCCAACAACUUUUCUUCACAUGUAAAAAUCUUCCUGAAUAAGUCAGUACAUUGCAGACACUGGACUAGAGAGGCGGUAGCAGCACUGUGCUGCUUGCACAUUCACUUCCUUAGGCAGGCAAUGGAUAACGAGCUACAGAAACAAUGGAAGUCAUCUUAUGCUCCUCCCCUCUGGGGAAAAGAUAAACCCCAGAAGGAGAUAAAGCUGAGUAAGUAAACAGCUUGAGCUAGGCAAUAAUAAAACUUGACAUCCCAUUAAUGGUAACAGGCUGGAUCUGUUGAGAGACUCUGACCAAAAGUUACGCUGCAGAAAACAGCCUCGCAUUUUCAACAUUUUCUUUAUAAUGAUGAUGAAUGUCUAUCAUUCAAAAUAAAACCAAUCACAGUCACCAAUAAAGUCUCUUUUUAAAACUUAGUACUGACUUUUAAUAUAACACUUAUUUCAGAACAUUAUUACGCUAGGAUAUAACAGACACCUUCUCUUCAGUCAUCAAGCUCAAAAGUCAUCCUCAAAGCUGGCUCCCAAGUUCUAUCCGUGCAGUUGGUUACAGCAUCAGGCACAGCCUGUCAGCUCACAGGGCUUGGAGGGGAGGAGUCUGGAAGAGCUGAAAUGCCCAGCACACUCCACAGCAGCUCUGUGUAAAAGCUCCAUGCAUACCAGACUGCACUCGUCCAAAGCACUUUGUUAGCUCACCUAGUCUUGAAGGCCAUCUCUAUACUUUCUUUGUUAAUAAGAAUUCCUGACCACUUCUUGUAUAGGUUGUAAAACCUGCUGUGAUACCUCGUUUUCAUGACUGAACAAACCCUCUACUUAUGGGGUAGAGUGAAAACCAGUCAUCUGCC
Molecule: long non-coding RNA, 10355 nt
Organism: Gallus gallus (chicken)
Lineage: Eukaryota; Metazoa; Chordata; Aves; Galliformes; Phasianidae
Exons: 5
Source: RefSeq, a predicted model, not a curated record